RNAcentral lists this ribosomal RNA (743 nucleotides) under Salmonella enterica. RNAcentral's name for it is "partial 16S ribosomal RNA". The record is from RNAcentral. Lineage: Bacteria; Pseudomonadati; Pseudomonadota; Gammaproteobacteria; Enterobacterales; Enterobacteriaceae.
AAGGAAGACUAGUGUUAUUCAUCUUAAUUAGGUUUAAAGGGUACCUAGACAGUAUUUCYAGCCYMMAAAGGGWACAGACUUACUAGAGUUUUAUGUGAGAGGUARAUAUUAGAACCAUUGGAGUAGAGAUAAAAUGUUUUGAUACUAAUGGGACGGAUAACGGCGAAGGCAARCCUCUAWRUAAUAACUGACGUUGAGGGACGAAGSCUWGGGGAGCAAAUAGGAUUAGAUACCCUAGUAGUCCAAGCAGAGAAUUAUGAAUGUUAUAGAYYAAAWUAUUUGGUGUAUWAAUGAAAGUGUAAGCAUUCCACCUCAAGAGUAAUGCGGCAACGCAGGAACUGAAAUCAUUAGACCGUUUCUGAAACCAGUAGUGAAGUAUGUUAUUUAAUUCGAUAACCCUCGAAAAACCUUACCACAAUUUGAAUGGUAUUUAUUUUAGGUUUAGACUUAAGAUAAAUAUUACAAGUGUUGCACGGCUGUCUUCAGUUAAUGUCGUGAGACUUUGGUUAGAUCCAUUAAAUUAACGUAAACCCUUGCUUUAUUUUAUACAUAAAGCAGUUCACCAAUUUAUUGGAUAUGAUAACAGGGAUUAAGACAAGUCAUCAUGACCUUAAUAUUGUGGGCUAUAGACGUGCCACAUAUGUUUGUACAAAAGGAGGCAAAAAUGCGAAUUUUAGCUAACCCUUAAAACAGAAUAUAAAAAUGGAUUGUAGUCUGAAACUCGACUGCAUUAAUUAGGAAUU